This is an RNA transcript of Canis lupus familiaris (dog), 5022 nucleotides long. It is a transcript of the gene named RAB3 GTPase activating protein catalytic subunit 1, with no coding region annotated. NCBI's taxonomy places the organism in Eukaryota, Metazoa, Chordata, Mammalia, Carnivora, Canidae. The record is from RefSeq and is a predicted model, not a curated record. The transcript is spliced from 26 exons.
GCCCCCUCCGCUCUCGUCCUUCCCGGCAGCCCCAGCGCCCUUCCCAGCGCUCCUCAAGAUGGCGGCCGACAGUGAGCCCGAGUCCGAGGUAUUUGAGAUCACGGACUUCACCACUGCCUCGGAAUGGGAAAGGUUUAUUUCCAAAGUUGAAGAAGUUUUAAAUGAUUGGAAACUGAUUGGAAACUCUUUGGGAAAGCCACUUGAAAAGGGUAUAUUUACUUCUGGCGCAUGGGAAGAGAAAUCAGAUGAAAUUUCCUUUGCUGACUUCAAGUUCUCAGUCACUCAUCAUUAUCUUGUACAAGACUCUGCUGAUAAAGAAGGAAAGGAUGAAGUAUUGGAAGAUGUUAUUCCACAGUCUAUGCAAGAUUUGUUGUGUAUGAAUAAUGACUUUCCUCCAAGAGCACAUUGCCUGGUAAGAUGGUAUGGACUCCGAGAGUUUGUGGUGAUUGCCCCUGCUGCAAACCAUGAUGCAGUUCUCAGUGAAUCUAAAUGCAAUCUUCUUUUGAGUUCUGUGUCUAUUGCUUUGGGAAACACUGGCUGCCAGGUGCCACUCUUUGUGCAAAUUCAUCAUAAAUGGCGAAGAAUGUAUGUGGGCGAAUGUCAGGGUCAUGGUGUCCGAACUGAUUUUGAAAUGGUUCAUCUUCGGAAAGUGCCAAAUCAGUACACUCAUUUAUCAGGUCUGCUGGAUAUCUUCAAAUCAAAGAUUGGAUGUCCUUUAACUCCUUUGCCUCCAGUUAGUAUUGCUAUUCGCUUUACAUAUGUACUUCAGGAUUGGCAGCAGUAUUUUUGGCCUCAGCAGCCUCCAGAUAUAGAUGCCCUUGUAGGAGGAGAAGUUGGAGGCCUGGAGUUCGGCAAGUUACCAUUUGGUGCCUGUGAAGAUCCUAUAAGUGAACUCCAUUUAGCAACUACAUGGCCUCACCUGACUGAAGGUAUCAUUGUGGAUAAUGAUGUUUAUUCUGAUUUGGAUCCUAUUCAGGCUCCCCAUUGGUCUGUUAGAGUUCGAAAAGCUGAUAAUCCUCAGUGUUUGCUGGGUGAUUUUGUCACUGAAUUUUUUAAAAUUUGCCGUCGAAAGGAGUCAACUGAUGAGAUUCUUGGUCGAUCCACAUUUGAGGAAGAAGGGAGAGAAAUUGCUGAUAUAACUCAUGCUUUGUCAAAGUUGACAGAGCCGGCACCAGUUCCAAUUCAUAAAUUAUCAGUUUCAAAUAUGGUACACACUGCAAAGAAGAAAAUACGAAAACACAGAGGUGUAGAAGAGUCACCACUGAAUAAUGAUGUCCUCAAUACUAUUCUGUUGUUCUUAUUCCCUGAUGCUGCUUCUGAGAAACCGUUAGAUGGAAGUUCUUCCACAGACAGCAAUAAUCCUCUAUCAGAGAGUGAAGAAUAUAAUCUCUACAAUCAGUUCAAAUCUGCACCAUCUGACAGUUUAACAUACAAAUUGGCUUUGUGUCUUUGUAUGAUCAAUUUCUACCAUGGAGGAUUGAAAGGAGUGGCACAUCUCUGGCAGGAAUUUGUUCUUGAAAUGCGUUUCAGAUGGGAAAACAACUUUCUCAUUCCAGGAUUAACAAGUGGACCCCCAGACCUAAGAUGUUGUUUACUACAUCAGAAACUACAGAUGCUAAAUUGUUGUAUUGAAAGAAAGAAGGCCCGUGAUGAGGGGAGAAAAACAAAUACUUCAGAAAUAUACCCAGGGGAUACUGGAAAAGCUGGAGACCAGCUGGGGCCAGAUAAUCUAAAAGACAUGGAUAAGGAAAAGGGAGAGAUAGGAAAAUCUUGGGAUUCUUGGAGUGACAGUGAAGAAGAAUUUUUUGAAUGCCUAAGUGAUACCGAAGAACUUAAGGGAAAUGGACAAGAGAGUGGCAAGAAAGGAGGACCUAAGGAGGUGGCAAGUUUAAAACCAGAAGGACGACUACAUCAGCAUGGAAAACUCACACUGCUACAUAAUGGAGAACCUCUCUACAUUCCAGUGACCCAGGAACCAGCACCUAUGACAGAAGAUCUGCUAGAAGAGCAGUCGGAGGUUCUAGCUAAAUUGGGUACAUCAGCAGAAGGGGCUCACCUCCGAGCACGCAUGCAGAGUGCCUGUCUGCUCUCAGAUAUGGAAUCUUUUAAGGCAGCUAAUCCAGGUUGUUUUCUGGAAGAUUUUGUGAGGUGGUACUCACCCCGGGAUUAUAUUGAAGAGGAAGUUGUUGAUGAAAAGGGCAACAUGGUUCUGAAAGGAGAACUGAGUGCCCGAAUGAAGAUUCCAAGCAAUAUGUGGGUAGAAGCCUGGGAAACUGCUAAGCCGAUUCCUGCUAGAAGGCAGAGGAGACUUUUUGAUGAUACACGGGAAGCAGAAAAGGUGCUGCACUAUCUGGCAGUACAGAAACCUGCAGACCUCGCUCGGCACCUGUUACCUUGUGUAAUUCAUGCAGCUGUACUCAAGGUAAAGGAAGAAGAAAAUCUGGAAAACAUUUCUUCAGUUAAGAAGAUUAUAAAGCAGAUAAUAACCCAUUCCAGUAAAGUUUUGCACUUCCCCAAUCCAGAAGACAAGAAACUGGAAGAAAUCAUCCAUCAAAUUACUAAUGUAGAAGCUAUAAUUGCCAGAGCCCGCUCACUGAAAGCCAAGUUUGGAACUGAGAAAUGUGAACAAGAGGAGGAAAAAGAAGAUCUUGAAAGGUUUGUGAGUUGCCUUUUGGAGCAGCCUGAAGUUUUAGUCGUGGGUGCAGGAAGAGGACAUGCCGGCAAAAUCAUUCACAAGCUGUUUGUGAAUGCUCAAAGGUUUGCAGGUUUGUCUUCAUCAUGUCCCAGAAUAAAGUGGAUGAAUGGCUUGUGAGGGAGAUGUGCAGGCUGGGCUGGCUCAUGCUGGAGGAGCCGCUAAUUGGGUUCAAAGCUGGUACCCAUGGUCAACUGUGGUCCAGAAGCAGAUGAUCUUCCUGAUAUAGCUUCAGAAGGUCAGUAGUACCCAAACACUAUGUCACAGAACCUGUGUCACUCCCUUCACUUCAUCUCAUCACGUAGGCAUUUUAUUAUCUCACAGCAUCAUCAUAAGAAGAAUGAGUAUGGCAUAAUAAAAUAUUGUGAGAGAGAGACAACAUUCACAAAACUUUCAUUACAGUGCAUUAAAAUGUUCUGUUUUAUUAUUACCGUUAAUCUUUUAGUAAUCUACCUGAUUUAACAAUUAAAGUUGAUCAUAGAUAGGUCUGUAUAGGAAAAAAAAAGAGUAUGAGAGAGAGACCACAAUCACAUCUUUAUAUUACAGUAUAUUGUUAUAAUUGUUCUAUUUUAUUCUUGUUGCUAAUUUACCGUGCCUAAUUUAUAAAUUUAACUUUAUAAUGGUAUGCAUGUAGGAAAAAACAUAGUAUAUAGGGGAUUUAGUACUAUCCACAGUUUCAGGCAUCCACUGUGGGUCUUGGAAAAUAUUCCCCAUGGAUAAGUGGGGACUUCUGCAUGUACUGGUGAGGGAUCUGUGCCUUCAGCUUGAUUGGAUGAUGGCAAAUUGUUUUUCCAAAGUGGCUGAAAUAAUUUACAUUCCCACUAGUUCUGGAUGGGAGUUCCUUUUACUUCCUAUUCUUGCCAGCUCUUGAUAUUGACAAAGAAUUUUUUUUUAAACAAUUUGAUGUGUGUGAAAUGGCAUCUUCUUAUAGUUUUAACCUGUGUUUGCUGACACUCACCUUCCUGUGUUAUCUGAAAUUAAAAAAAAACCUGAAAAAUUGAAAAAUGCUGAAGUUCUUUUUGUCACACUCAUUCAGCAAUAUUGAAAACAGUUUUCCCUCAAGCAGCUGGUAUCCACCACUGGAUGUUCACAGCAUGAUCUCCACAAACAGUGGAACUUCCUCAGGGUUGUAAAAUGAAGCUGAAGCUCCUGCCAGCCCUGUUACUCGCUUCAGAACUGGUGGGUUUGGGGAUGUCUGGGAGGCUCAGCGGUGGAGCGUCUGCCUUUGACUCAGGGCAUGAUCCUAGGGUCCAGGAUCAAGUCCCCAUCGGCCUCCUGCAGACAGCCAGCUUCUCCCUCUGCUUAUGUCUCUGCCUCUCUCUGCCUUUUUCUCUCUGUGUCUCUCAUGAAUAAAUAAGUAAAAUCUUAAAAAAAAAAAAAAAAAAAAAAGAAAUGGUGGUUUUUUUCCUGGAUUAUGAAUGCACUGGUACUUCUAGAAUGGAGGACAAGUAUCAAAUGACUCACACAUCUCCCAUGCCUUCUGGAAACUCAUGCCUGGAAGAUAUAACCACUCAUUCCUAUGCUACAUGGUGGUCUUUAAGAGAGCUACAGCCUGCCAGCCUUCUGCACAUGACUGUCUAACAAGGUGGUGGUGACAAUUUCCUGUCCUAAAAUGAAUUCAAAGGAAAGCUACUUCUCUUCUCUCUGAGACUGAGAACUUACAUCAGCCUCGAGAGGAAACUCAGGUGAUGAGGGGAAAAAAGGCAUCUCGCAUCCCGGACAAGGGAUACAGAUUCAUCCACUCAGCCUCCCACUCCUAUAUACACACUUUUCUACUUGCUGUUCCAGGAUGAAGACACAUGGGUUUGUAGAGCCCCACUCACCUCUCUGUGACACAGUGUGCAGAGGGUCUGCAGGUUGUCCAGGGAGCACUGUCCUCCUCCACCGGACACAGGCUUGAUGUGGUCCACCUGCCAGAAAUGCCCUUCUCCUGGGUUUCUUAUCAUUUCAUUAAGCUGCAGUAAGAACACAAGAUCAGCACUUUUCAAUAUACGCUGUGGGAACUGUUGGUUUUGCCUGGUGCAAUCAUGUUUAUACAGCAAAAUCACAGUGAAAAAUACAUUAGGAUGGCUUUUUAUAGCUUUUAUUGUGAAUAGGAAAAAAGCCUCUAGGUUAGCAAUUUGAAAGCAAUAAAAUAUGUUUCUGAAAAAGUUCUUUUUCCCUUACCUAACCCAUUUUGAAAAAAUUACAAGCAAGUAUAAAAUACCAAGACUCCUGACAUAUUGGGAAAAAUUACUUGCUUCUGCACCUUUGAGCUAGUUUAGAUAGUCACUAAAAGAAAAUUAUGAAAAGAAUAAGAUCGGACUAGAAAUAAAAACUUCUGAAUAUUA